Molecule: ribosomal RNA, 483 nt
Filed under: uncultured bacterium
Lineage: Bacteria
Description: partial 16S ribosomal RNA
Rfam family: Bacterial small subunit ribosomal RNA (bases 65-483)
Source: RNAcentral
GGGGGGGGGGGGGGGGGGGGGGGGGGGGUGCGGGGGGGGGGGGGGUUGGAGGGGAGGUGGUUCGGAGGGGCGGUUGGAGUUCUAGCGGCGGGCGGGUGAGUGGCGCGGGAAGAAUCUGUCCGGGACAGGGUGAUAAGCGGUGGGAACAGGGGCUCAUACCUCGUCAGACCACGGACGCGGAUCGGGGUGCGGUAACAGAAGCAAUCCGGUUCGGGGUGAGUUCGCGUCCGAUUAGCUAGUUGGUGAGGUAACGGCCCACCAAGGUGACGAUCGGUAGCCGGCCUGAGAGGGUGAACGGCCACAUUGGAACUGAGAGACGGUCCAAACUCCUACGGGAGGCAGCAGUGGGGAAUAUUGGGCAAUGGGCGAAAGCCUGACCCAGCAACGCCGCGUGAGGGAAGAAGGUUUUCGGAUUGUAAACCUCUGUCCUAUGGGACGAAGGAAGUGACGGUACCAUAGGAGGAAGCCCCGGCUAACUACGUG